GCCAGGCAUUAUAAUACUGUGCCUCACUGGAGAUUUUCCUGGAUGGGGAUGUAGAAGUUGCUCCAGCACAGCUCUGACACUGGGUCCUGGUCAGGAGUUGAAAAUAAGGAAAAGAGAGGAAGAAAAACCACAAAGAAAGAGGCAUCUGAAAAGUAAAAAAAUUCGGAGCUGGAGGUGAACCUGAACACUCAGAGGUAAUUUGCCUUGAGGAGCAAGAACCCUUGAGACCUGUGUGUAGACUUUUGAAAAAAGACCCUGUGAACAAUAGCAAAGGCUAUGAACGUACCAUCCCUCUGACAGAUCAAUUAUCACCAUUAAGCGUGUCAGAAAGAAGUGGGA
This 339-nucleotide long non-coding RNA is filed under the name Junco hyemalis (dark-eyed junco). RNAcentral describes it as "lncRNA (ENSJHYG00000003243.1)". The record is from RNAcentral. Lineage: Eukaryota; Metazoa; Chordata; Aves; Passeriformes; Passerellidae.